AUUGAACGCUGGCGGCAUGCCUUACACAUGCAAGUCGAACGGCAGCAUGAUCUAGCUUGCUAGAUUGAUGGCGAGUGGCGAACGGGUGAGUAAUUCAUCGGAACGUGCCCUGUAGUGGGGGAUAACUAGUCGAAAGAUUAGCUAAUACCGCAUACGACCUGAGGGUGAAAGUGGGGGACCGCAAGGCCUCAUGCUAUAGGAGCGGCCGAUGUCUGAUUAGCUAGUUGGUGAGGUAAAGGCUCACCAAGGCGACGAUCAGUAGCUGGUCUGAGAGGACGAUCAGCCACACUGGGACUGAGACACGGCCCAGACUCCUACGGGAGGCAGCAGUGGGGAAUUUUGGACAAUGGGCGAAAGCCUGAUCCAGCAAUGCCGCGUGUGUGAAGAAGGCCUUCGGGUUGUAAAGCACUUUUGUCCGGAAAGAAAUGGCUCUGGUUAAUACCUGGGGUCGAUGACGGUACCGGAAGAAUAAGGACCGGCUAACUACGUG
RNAcentral lists this ribosomal RNA (490 nucleotides) under uncultured bacterium. RNAcentral describes it as "partial 16S ribosomal RNA". It matches the Rfam family "Bacterial small subunit ribosomal RNA", at positions 30 to 507 of the family's 1533-position model. The record is from RNAcentral.